This is a non-coding RNA of Electrophorus electricus (electric eel), 393 nucleotides long. NCBI's taxonomy places the organism in Eukaryota, Metazoa, Chordata, Actinopteri, Gymnotiformes, Gymnotidae. The record is from RefSeq and is a predicted model, not a curated record.
CCCAACAAUGCCAACGGUCAGAGGAGUGUUUGCUAAUUCUAUAUACCACAUGUGUCGCUGGUAAAAUUCAUCCUUACUGGAGCGCGAAUGACUGCGCAGGAUCCCUCGUUAUUCUCCCGUAACAACACGGUACCUCCAGCAAGGUCAUUACUCAGCAGGGACGCAGGAACAGUGCUGGAGUAUUUAUGAACCAAGUCAUCCCACAUACAAAAGUCAUGGCAGACGGGGAGGCUUCCCUCACUUAACAAAUGAAGAGAUAUGUGACAAAUGCAAGGGAACAGAGUACUAGAGGCUUGAACUGCUGGCAUCUCGUUAGUAAAAACAGUGUGUGUGUGUUCAGAAGCCCUUAAUGUGGCAGUAAGCCUCGAGUGAGGAGAAGAGGAUAUAGAGAAG